Molecule: long non-coding RNA, 1369 nt
Filed under: Monodelphis domestica (gray short-tailed opossum)
Lineage: Eukaryota; Metazoa; Chordata; Mammalia; Didelphimorphia; Didelphidae
Description: lncRNA (ENSMODG00000036467.1)
Source: RNAcentral
UGUAAGUAAUUUGUUCCAGACCGUGAGCCCCAAGGUGCAAAGGGGGGCAAGGGAAGGAGGUUUGGGAGAGAAAAGACACGAAACAAGGGAAGGGGUGGAGAUGGGGAGGAAGACCGGGAGGCCCGAGGGAAGACGGAGACGGAGAGGGGAUGCUUGGAGCUGUAAAAAGAGGACAGGUGCCUCGUGGAAGGACAGGUGGUGAUGCAGCAGCCUAGAUAGCACCUUGAGGUCCUCCCUGGGAGACCCGAAGGCAUAUGAUACCUUCUCCUAGGCUCCUGGCCUGCGCUGAAUGGGGAGAGGUGGUCCAAUCUGCGCGAGUCUCUUCUUUCUUUCCUUCCUUGAUCCCUCAUUCCGCCUCCCCCAACCCACCCAGUUCAGUCUGGUUCCCGGGGGGUAAAACGGAACCCUGAUCCAGCCGCAAGCUGCUACCGUUUUGUCCGACUAAGGUAGCGAUCGAGAAUAACCCAGGGGAUCCGGGAGGUACAGGCUCAAGACCCGUGCACCCCAUUAUUGGCUUGGGUGCAUUUGUGUGCAAAAUAGGCAUAACCCAGGGGAGUUCUCGGACUCCCUGGGAGGAGGUCGGGCCAGAGGGUCUUUAACCCAAGGGCUGGUGGGUGCUACUGCAGCAGCAGGUUUCCCGGAGGCGUCAGGCGGCGGCGGCGGCGGCGGCUGUGACUGAGGGAAAGAAGUUUGGAGGCACAGCAGCCACCUCCCGUGCGUCCUCCCCUCUGCUCUCUGCUACCUCUUCCCCACUCCCCUGUCCCUCCCCUCGUAGCUCCCGUGGCGGCGGCGGUGUCUGGGCGGCCGCUGCCAGGGACAGGACAAAGGCUCAUUAACACGUGAUGGGACCAGAGCUUUCAUAAUGGGACUGGAGAGAGAGCGCGCAAGAGAGACAGACACAGAAAGCGAGCAGGAGGAGAAGGAAGGAAGGGAGAAAAAGGGAAAGAAGGAGACCAGGAUCAGGCUGAGAAGUCACCAUCCACAAUCUUUGGCAAGACUCCCAGAGGAACUGAGGGUACCGGAUCCCCCGCGGAGGACCAGGGGAUGAUAAGGGUAAGGACUGGAAGAGUUCCACGGGCAAUACUUUUCUGCUUCCCACCCCUGUGGUGCUGACCAGGGUGAGCCCUAAAGCGACUAGUGCGUGCUUUUCUUGUUCAGUAUAUGCGUGUGUACAUGUUCAAAUCAUGCAUCCAUAUGGUUAUUUAAAUAUCUAGCUGUCAGUCGACUUUAAUGUUCCUUUCGGUGGUCUCCUUGUCUUUUCUUUUUAGGUUUCUAAUGCCCUUCUCAUUUCUUUAUUAAGUCUAUCUGUAUGCCUCUGUAUAUGGUUGUAGAAAAUAAAUAGGAAAUGUUUGCUAAUUGGGUGCUUCGG